This is a non-coding RNA of Lolium perenne, 418 nucleotides long. Lineage: Eukaryota; Viridiplantae; Streptophyta; Magnoliopsida; Poales; Poaceae. The record is from RefSeq and is a predicted model, not a curated record.
GGGGGAAGCUGGCCCAUUGGUGUUGGCUGAAGGCGCUAACGGUGUUGGAUAACCGUUGGAGUUGGGGAACAGCGGCACUUGCCUACCUCUACCGGCAGUUGGACGAAGCUUGUCGCAGAACUGGGAGCAGGACUGGGAGCGGCGGUAUUGGUGGAUGCAUGCUCCUACUUUCCGUAUGGAGCUGGGACCGCCUAUCAGUUGGGCGGCCUAGGGUACUCAACGAGAGGCCAUGGCCUCAUUACCCUCACUCUCCUGAUCGGGAGCCCACUUGGGCAUACCUUUGGGACAAUGUCUCGGAGAUGUCGGGCGAUCCAAAGAUCAUGUACAUGCAGUACACUGCGGAGUUGGACACUCUUACCGCUGAGCAGGUGGAAUGGGAGCCAUAUGGUAGCUACUACCGUAUUGGCGCGUCGAUGAC